Molecule: long non-coding RNA, 833 nt
Organism: Triticum aestivum (bread wheat)
Lineage: Eukaryota; Viridiplantae; Streptophyta; Magnoliopsida; Poales; Poaceae
Exons: 3
Source: RefSeq, a predicted model, not a curated record
CAACCCACCACCACCACCGCCGCCAUGAGCCCCUCCUUCUCGGCCGCCGGUGACGCAUCCCCUCGCCGGUGAAUAGUUUCACUCGCUCCCUUCCCCACCCUUCCCCGACGCCCUCGUCUCUCGUCCCCUCCCCCCUCAACCCACCACCACCAUGGCUGUCGCCAAAUCUUUGAUCCACCACCACCGCCGCCAUGAGCCCCUCCUUCUCGGCCGCCGGUGACGCAUCCCCUUGCCGGUGUAUAGCUUCCCCCUGAGUCCUAUUCCACCGUCCCCACACCGGUAACUCGCGAAGCUUUCUGUUUGAUGGCGUGGCUGCCUCCGGUGACCGCAACGCCGCCGUUGAGUUCUCAAAUCCUGUACAUGGGAUGUGUAAAGAUUAUCCCUCUUGCGACAUGCCUACUAUGCGGUUAUGCCUCUAAGUCGUGCUCCGACACGUGGGAGAUAUAGCCGCAUCGUGAGUGUUACAACUGCUCUGGCCAUGCUAACUUGUCUUUCCUCAAGCAAAUCAACCAAUGAAGGGUAACAACGAAGCCUGAAGGCUAAACCGAAAUCUGGAUGCAAGUUCAAGCCUCUUUAAUGGAUGCAAAGAUUUAUUUUUAAUGGUCCUAAUGCAUUUGUAAUGGCGAGUUAUAGUCUUUUAUCUUCCAUAUCGUGCUUAAUAAGUUGUGAACCUUCGAAGAUCUUUGUUUCCGAGGAGCACAAGUUUCAGCCUUUAAUGGCCCUUCAAACAUCUUAUCACUUUUAUUGUCUGCAUUAUAGAUUAUUAUAUUUGAAUGUUUGAAUGCGUGAAGAUGAAGCUUUCUAGAUCUUUUUGAUCUUGAUCACUGAAAAAA